This 478-nucleotide ribosomal RNA is filed under the name uncultured bacterium. RNAcentral's name for it is "partial 16S ribosomal RNA". It matches the Rfam family "Bacterial small subunit ribosomal RNA", at positions 28 to 523 of the family's 1533-position model. The record is from RNAcentral.
GACGAACGCUGGCGGCGUGCUUAACACAUGCAAGUCGAACGGUAAGGCCCUUCGGGGUACACGAGUGGCGAACGGGUGAGUAACACGUGUGUGAUCUGCCCUGCACUCCGGGAUAAGCCUGGGAAACUGGGUCUAAUACCGGAUAGGACCCUGGGAUGCAUGUCCUGGGGUGGAAAGCUUUUGCGGUGUGGGAUGGGCCCGCGGCCUAUCAGCUUGUUGGGGGGGUGAUGGCCUACCAAGGCGACGACGGGUAGCCGGCCUGAGAGGGUGACCGGCCACACUGGGACUGAGAUACGGCCCAGACUCCUACGGGAGGCAGCAGUGGGGAAUAUUGCACAAUGGGCGCAAGCCUGAUGCAGCGACGCCGCGUGAGGGAUGACGGCCUUCGGGUUGUAAACCUCUUUCAGCACCGACGAAGCGCAAGUGACGGUAGGUGCAGAAGAAGGACCGGCCAACUACGUGCCAGCCGCCGCGGUAA